CUCCCCCCCAAAUCACAGGCGUCGAACACCGUCUCCCGUCUCUGUGGAGAGAGAAAAGAGGAGCGGAAGAGGGGAGAAAGAGAGAGACCAGCCGAUGAGUUCAGCUGCUUGCAUCUCCUUGGGGCCAACCCCUCUGUCCCACCUCAAGAAUGCGGAGAAAGGCGCCGCCUUUAGCCUCGCUUCCGUCAGGGGAGCGGGAUUCAGGCCUUCCCCCAAUGCCCUCUUCCUCAGAAUCCCUGCGCGUCCGUCGAGGAGGAAGCCCUCCCCUAGGCGGACCGCCGUCAGACCUUUCUCCCCUGUCAUGGAGUGGCAGGAUUGCAGCUCUGAGAUCGAAGUCGAUGUUCCAUGUUCAGUAGCUUACGACUGUUACUCUGAUCGCGAGAUGAUCCCAAAAUGGAUGCCAUUUAUAUCUUCUGUAAAGGUUCUACAGGAUAAGCCUGACCUCUCACGCUGGGCACUGAAGUAUGAGGUGUUUGGUCGUGACGUUGAAUUUUCUUGGCUUGCCCGAAAUUUGCAACCCAUUCCUAAUCAGAAGAUACAUUGGCGAUCUUUGGAAGGUCUUCCUAAUAGAGGCGCAGUCAGAUUUUUCCCCAAAGGCCCAUCCUCUUGCAGAAUACAAUUGACAGUUUCGUAUGAAAUCCCUGAAAUUUUAAUUCCAGUUGCGUCAGCGCUUAAACCAUUCCUUGAAGGAUUACUUGCACAAGGCUUGGAACGAUUUGCAAAAGUUGCAAAAGAGUAUCAGAGAAAGAUUCCCCAAAGAUAACCUACAGGCAAACUUUAUUAAUUGCCACAUGUCCAAAUAACAAUGAGGCGCUAAGGUAUCAGUCAAGAUUCUUUAGGGAUAUGCAUUAUCCUUUGAUAUUAUAGCUGGGAUGAACUUUUUAUUUUCCUGAAUAUUUAAACCAAUAUAUGUCUGAUGGUGAAGGUGAUUCAUGAAACAAGAUCAGUUUGGUUUUGUACACUUGUCCACCCAAAUGCUUUGAUACAACCAUAUGAUUUCUACUUUCCUUCAUUUUGUGUUCUUCUGUUGCUGUACUUGUGUAGAAUACCCAGUACAUGUAAACUUUCUUUUAAUUGGUGAGAUUUUAGCAGCAUUAAAAAUGAUAAUAUGUUAAAUUCCAAUAA
Musa acuminata AAA Group (dessert banana) is the source of this 1125-nucleotide RNA transcript. RefSeq lists it as uncharacterized. The record is from RefSeq and is a predicted model, not a curated record. Lineage: Eukaryota; Viridiplantae; Streptophyta; Magnoliopsida; Zingiberales; Musaceae. The transcript is spliced from 8 exons.